GGUUCCUACGGGGCGCAGCAGUGAGGAAUAUUGGUCAAUGGGCGGGAGCCUGAACCAGCCAAGCCGCGUGAGGGAAGAAGGUACAGCGUAUCGUAAACCUCUUUUGUCAGGGAGCAAAGGGCGCCACGUGUGGCGUUUUGCGAGUACCUGAAGAAAAAGCAUCGGCUAACUCCGUGCCAGCAGCCGCGGUAAUACGGAGGAUGCGAGCGUUAUCCGGAUUUAUUGGGUUUAAAGGGUGCGCAGGCGGAAUGUCAAGUCAGCGGUAAAAUUUCGGGGCUCAACCCCGUCGUGCCGUUGAAACUGGG
Molecule: ribosomal RNA, 305 nt
Filed under: uncultured bacterium
Lineage: Bacteria
Description: bacterial SSU rRNA
Rfam family: Bacterial small subunit ribosomal RNA
Source: RNAcentral